UUGGUAGAAUUCAGCUGUGAAUCCAUCCAGUCCUGGACUUUUCUUUCUGGGAGACUUUUUAUUAUCACUUCAAACUUGCUACUAGUUAUUGUUUUGUUCCAGUUUUCUAUUCCUUCCUGACUCAAUCUUGCAGAGUUGGCUGAGAAGGAGGGUGCCGAAGAAGGGGUUGAAGAAGGUGCUGAAGAAGGAGAGUGAGCAGCCAACCAUGUGGAUUUGAUGGAUGUCUCCCAGAUAUGUUCUUAUUUGCCAGCCAAAGACGGAGGAGAGGCCUGUCUACUUUAUUCAAGCAAACUUAAACAACCUGCAUGUUGUCAUGAGCUGGAUACCCACACUGCAUUCCUUAGUAGGCUCCCGACGAAUACCAAUUUUCUAGCUAACUGCUUUCCUUGCCUUCCCAUCCUAAGCCCAAACAUCACUUGCUAGAUUUCAGUGAGAUAGAGCAUCUCCGUAAGGAAACUUAGAUAAGCCACGUCUGACAAAAUCCUUAAGGAUUUCCCUUAUUCCUUAUGGAUUAAGAAAUCCUUAACCCAUAAGGAAUAAGGGAACUCCACAAGGAAACUUUUGUAAGAGAUUUCAUGAGAAAUGCCAGGCCUGCCUUUGGGUCAAUGCACACUCACUCCCAUCUCCUACAACCUGUGGCUGCAGUACUCACUACCGGCCAGUUGCAAUCCAAGAUCGGAAUGUUGAGUCUGACAUGCUGCGACGUUUAUAACCAUCCAAGAAGAAAAAUAAAAUAAACCAAAAAACAGCUUUGUGGCC
This is a long non-coding RNA of Homo sapiens (human), 759 nucleotides long. RefSeq lists it as uncharacterized. Lineage: Eukaryota; Metazoa; Chordata; Mammalia; Primates; Hominidae. The transcript has 3 exons. The record is from RefSeq and is a predicted model, not a curated record.